UACGUAGGGGGCAAGCGUUGUCCGGAAUCAUGGGGCGUAAAGAGCGUGUAGGCGGCCCGGUAAGUCCGCUGUGAAAGUCGGGGGCUCAACCCUCGAAUGCCGGCGGAUACUGUCGGGCUAGAGUCCGGAAGAGGCGAGUGGAAUUCCUGGUGUAGCGGUGAAAUGCGCAGAUAUCAGGAGGAACACCAACGGCGAAGGCAGCCCGCUGGGACGGUACUGACGCUGAGACGCGAAAGCGUGGGGAGCAAACAGG
This 253-nucleotide ribosomal RNA is filed under the name uncultured bacterium. RNAcentral describes it as "partial 16S ribosomal RNA". It matches the Rfam family "Bacterial small subunit ribosomal RNA", at positions 524 to 776 of the family's 1533-position model. The record is from RNAcentral.